CGUAGGUGAACCUGCGGAAGGAUCAUUCAUAAUAAGUGUUUUAUGGCACUUUUUUAAAUCCAUAUCCACCUUGUGUGCAAUGUCAGGGUUGAUCUUUCUCUCGAGAGGAUCAACCCCAAACAUCAACUAUAUCCCAACUCUUUGUCUGAAAAAUAUUAUGAAUAAAACAAUUCAAAAUACAACUUUCAACAACGGAUCUCUUGGCUCUC
RNAcentral lists this unclassified non-coding RNA (209 nucleotides) under plant metagenome. Its description in RNAcentral is "partial contains small subunit ribosomal RNA, internal transcribed spacer 1, and 5.8S ribosomal RNA". The record is from RNAcentral.